GAUGAACGCUGGCGGCGUGCUUAACACAUGCAAGUCGAACGGAAAGGCUCCUGCUUGCAGGGGUACUCGAGUGGCGAACGGGUGAGUAACACGUGGGUGAUCUGCCCUGCACUUCGGGAUAAGCCUGGGAAACUGCGUCUAAUACCGGAUAGGACGAUGGGAUGGAUGCCAUUGUGGAGAGAUGUUCGGUGUGGGAUGAGCUCGCGGCCUAUUAGCUUGUUGGUGGGGUAAUGGCCUACCAAGGCGUCGACGGGUAGCCGGCCUGAGAGGGGGUACGGCCACAAUGGGACUGAGAGACGGCGCAGACUCGUACGGUAGGCAGCAGUGGGGAAUAUUGCACAAUGGGCGCAAGCCUGAUGCAGCGACGCUGCGUGGGGGAAGACGGCCUUCGGGUUGUAAACACCUUUCGCUAGGGACGAAGAGAAAGUGACGGUACCUGGAGAAGAAGCACCGGCUAACUACGUG
This 465-nucleotide ribosomal RNA is filed under the name uncultured bacterium. Its description in RNAcentral is "partial 16S ribosomal RNA". It matches the Rfam family "Bacterial small subunit ribosomal RNA", at positions 28 to 507 of the family's 1533-position model. The record is from RNAcentral.